This 725-nucleotide non-coding RNA is filed under the name Pan troglodytes (chimpanzee). Lineage: Eukaryota; Metazoa; Chordata; Mammalia; Primates; Hominidae. The record is from RNAcentral.
CGCAUUCCUGGGCCCGCUGGGCGCGGCUGGGCAGGCCGCUCGAAUUUGACCCGAGUGGGCCGCGAUCGGCCGAGGAUUUGGGGUACUCUUUGACCCAGGCGGGGCGCGAUCCGCCUAGGAUUUGGGGUCCCCUGGCGCCGAACCCUGAGUUGCCAGAUUUAGCAAGUAAAAGUACAGUUCUUCUAAAUUUGAAUUUCAGACAGGACAGGUUUUAGGGUUCGUCUCCUGUAAUGUUGAGAAGGAUUUCCCUCAUCUACCUUUCUUUGGGAGAUACGACUAAAACCAACAAAAGCCAAGUUUGGUAAAUAAGAAGUUUAAACAAGUGCUUCUCUGUACAGCUCAUCCACUUCCUCAUCUGUAAACCGAUCCCCCAUGGUUGUCAGCAGCUCUCUCAAGUAAUCUUCCUGAAUGGUGCCUGGAGAAUAAAGAACAAGGGAUCAGAAUACAUACUAUUCUGAGGGUUAAUUACAAAGAAUAUCUAUACUCAACUAAGCAUGUUCUGUAUGUUACAAACUAUAAACAUGCAAAGAUAUAUGAACUACAGGGUGUCCACCUACUUAAAACAGCCUCAGCAGAGAAGUGCCUAGAAAAAUGCCUAGCUGCUUAGCAGCACUGCUCCGCUCUAUCAUUUGCUCUAUCAUUCUGCCUCCACAUUCAGCUUCUGAUCUCUUGAUAAGAGAGACUAAACCUAUGCCUAAACAAAGUAAUAAAAAGUAUGGUUAAAG